Long non-coding RNA from Hemicordylus capensis (graceful crag lizard), 329 nucleotides. RefSeq lists it as uncharacterized. Lineage: Eukaryota; Metazoa; Chordata; Lepidosauria; Squamata; Cordylidae. The record is from RefSeq and is a predicted model, not a curated record. The transcript has 3 exons.
UCGGCAGCUACGGCUGAAACCAGUGAAUUUAUUUCCAAUUGACUAUUGAUUGAGUUGCAAUCCCACUGAUCUGGAGAGGUUGGCCUGAAAGCACAUGGGUGUUCAGUGCCUGGGUGGGAGACUGCCUGGAAGCUCCAGAGAACCAUUCACAUGUGCAGGCCAGCCUCCACCUCCAAUCUGAAGUAGCGUACUGCAGAUACAGGUUUACCAUCAAGGAGAGCGAGGCCAGAUGUGUUAGAUCUCUUUUACUAAGAAAUUUUCCAGGCCGUUCAGAUGAGUUUUUUGUUUGCUUUCUUGCUGACCACAAUUCUGACAUUACAUAUUAUGUA